AUUGAACGCUGGCGGCAUGCUUUACACAUGCAAGUCGAACGGUAACAGGCCGCAAGGUGCUGACGAGUGGCGAACGGGUGAGUAAUGCAUCGGAACGUGCCCAGUCGUGGGGGAUAACGCGGCGAAAGCUGCGCUAAUACCGCAUACGAUCUAUGGAUGAAAGCGGGGGACCGUAAGGCCUCGCGCGAUUGGAGCGGCCGAUGUCAGAUUAGGUAGUUGGUGGGGUAAAGGCUCACCAAGCCAACGAUCUGUAGCUGGUCUGAGAGGACGACCAGCCACACUGGGACUGAGACACGGCCCAGACUCCUACGGAGGCAGCAGUGGGGAA
RNAcentral lists this ribosomal RNA (328 nucleotides) under uncultured bacterium. RNAcentral describes it as "bacterial SSU rRNA". It matches the Rfam family "Bacterial small subunit ribosomal RNA", at positions 30 to 361 of the family's 1533-position model. The record is from RNAcentral.